AGUGAACGCUGGCGGUAGGCCUAACACAUGCAAGUCGAACGGCAGCACAGAGGAGCUUGCUCCUUGGGUGGCGAGUGGCGGACGGGUGAGGAAUACAUCGGAAUCUACUCUGUCGUGGGGGAUAACGUAGGGAAACUUACGCUAAUACCGCAUACGACCUACGGGUGAAAGCAGGGGAUCUUCGGACCUUGCGCGAUUGAAUGAGCCGAUGUCGGAUUAGCUAGUUGGCGGGGUAAAGGCCCACCAAGGCGACGAUCCGUAGCUGGUCUGAGAGGAGGAUCGGCCACACUGGAACCGAGACACGGUCCAGACUCCUACGGGAGGCAGCAGUGGGGAAUAUUGGACAAUGGGCGCAAGCCUGAUCCAGCCAUACCGCGUGGGUGAAGAAGGCCUUCGGGUUGUAAAGCCCUUUUGUUGGGAAAGAAAUCCAUCUGGUUAAUACCCGGGUGGGAUGACGGUACCCAAAGAAUAAGCACCGGCUAACUUCGUGCCAGCAGCCGCAGUAA
This 506-nucleotide ribosomal RNA is filed under the name uncultured bacterium. Its description in RNAcentral is "partial 16S ribosomal RNA". It matches the Rfam family "Bacterial small subunit ribosomal RNA", at positions 29 to 523 of the family's 1533-position model. The record is from RNAcentral.